CCAAAGGCUCUUUUAAGAGCCACACACUUAAACAAAGAAAGAGUA
Scleropages formosus (Asian bonytongue) is the source of this 45-nucleotide regulatory RNA element. It matches the Rfam family "Histone 3' UTR stem-loop". Rfam says of the family: The mRNAs of metazoan histone genes lack a poly-A tail. The record is from Rfam. Lineage: Eukaryota; Metazoa; Chordata; Actinopteri; Osteoglossiformes; Osteoglossidae.